UUAUUGCCCCUCCCAACACACCGGCCUCACUCUUUUCCCCUGAAAACCCUACCACAUGUCUUCACUCUUCAAUUGCAGCAGAUGAAGCGUCUGGACUUCCAGCAGUUUCCAUCGUCCCCUCAGCUCUAUAAUAACUAUACAGACUAUAGAGAAAAAUAGAGACUUGGAGAGACAAUAGCCCGGUUUGUUUGCAUAAGUCCUCCUGAGAUGACGCCGGGUCAGUGAUGAUGGUGUUCGAAUGAUGGCGGUGGUAGGUUGUGGACAAAGCGAAGCCGACGAUGGCUUUAGGGUUCCGUCGCAAGUCAGUCAAGGGGAUAUUAGGAUCCGGGCAGAGCCAUACCUAGGGUUCCGAUUGACAAUUCCAGGGGUGUAAUCGGUGUGUAAUAGGUGUUUAAAAGGACGGAUUGAAACAACCCCUCUUCAUCUCGCCAAAAACCUAAUCGAUUCGUCAACCACCACAUCUGCAGAUGUAUGAUCUUUGCCACUUAUACAAGUUAUGGACGAGAAAAUGGACGCAUCAGUGUUUUGUUUUAGCGUUUGGUGCCUAGCUGUUGCUGCUGCUAUAUGCUGUUAUUACUGUUAAGAGGUGGCAAGCUAAUGCGGUUUGUUUUCGAGCCUAUUGGAUUAUGUUGAACAAAGGUUGGGGUCAUCUGUACAGGAGAUCAACUUCAAAUUGGCGUAUAUCUACAUUAUAGAGUGCUCUUUUGCUCUGUAUGAAAGGAGAGAUGUUACUGGAUCUUGGUAUGGUGUUCGCUUUCAAGACUCCACAUGUUAUCCUAAACCUGGUUCUGUGAGAAUAAUUAAAGCUGAAGCUUUAACUUUGGAGUCGAACUACAGCAGUGAAAACACACUGGAGUUAUGGGGCUGUUCUAUAUUCUUGUUGCAGACGCUUCUUUGAAUUUGAAUAAACAGGUUCAAAUUAAUGAAGAACCAAAAGUACUGAUCUUCUUUUGGGGUUUUGCUGUGUUUGGAUUGGCAGUUUGUGCUGCGGUUUUGGUUACUUAUCGAAGAAGAAACUAACAUGAGGAUGGGUAUCUGUCUAUUGCAACUUGAACAGCGUUUUCAUAUGAUUCGAGAGUCUGCGGAUGCUACGUGCAGAAUCUUGUUGGUUGGUAAAACUAUGAGUUUUACAAUACAUGUGAAACAUAUAAGUAUAUGUUACAAUAAAAUAAAGUUACCUCUUGUUUAUCACUUAUCCUUUGAGAUUUUGUCACUGAAAUUACAAUUGGAAAAAACAUAAAUAGCAAAUGACGUAUUGCAGUUUUUUUUUGUGGGCUUUAUACUUGUAUCAAAUUAGGUUCAUAUGAGUGUUUUGUGGCCGCAAAAUUCACUUUCACUCUUUUUCUUGUAGGAUUUUAAAUGACCUGACCGGAUCUGAAAGUUCUAAAAUAGAAACAAAGUGGAAUGAGGAGAAGAGGUUGUGAUUAUUGGUUUCAAUCGCAAAUACCAUAUCUAGAGUCGAUUGAUUGGUUACCUGGUCGCUAUGAAGAAUUGCCCUUGCCCAAAAGUGGGAGGUUUCGAGUGAAUUUUGUGAACCAUUUUGGGGUGUUGAGGUGAGGUUGGUAAGAAAUAAGGACACUAGCAUUCAGAAGUAAAGAUGAUGUUGAAUAGGCCAUUGAAGAGCUACAUGACAAAGAAUUUAAGUGAAAUUAGGGUAAGUUGAUAUAGAAACAAGAACUUUAAGAACAUGAGUAAUCAUCCGGCAACAGCGGUUGUCAAUGCGAAUUUUAUCUAUCAAGACAAGGAUCCAUAUACUCAUUGACCUUUGAUGAGCUGCAAAACACCAUGGGUAGUAGUAAUUGUAAAGAUUAUGGGUCCAUGAAAAUGGAUGAAUUGUUAAAAAGGAUUUGGAAUGCUGAAGAAAUUCAAACAAACAACACCGCCAACAGUGUACAAGAAGGCAUCAUGUAGUCAGGGCUGUGUAACGAUGUCCGGUUUGAAAGAGGUGUGCCCCUUCUUGUCAGAGUAGAGUUAUGCAACCGUGAAAAUUUUGAGUUAUCUGUUUAACAAGGAGUGGGCCACCCAAAGAAGCAACAAGGCUUUUGAAUCUGUUGAAAAUGUUUUUUUUUUAAUUAAAAGGACACCAUUUAUAGGGCUAGGCAAAAAUAACCUUUAAAACUGGUGGUUAUGUUGGUGGUGGCAACUGGAAAUCUAAACAUGGGACUACACAUUAUGGACAUAAUUUAGUGUUACAUGGCUCAAUGUACGUCGUUUGAAACCUGUAAAAAUAAAAAAAAAAUUUAUAAAAGUCUUUGAAGUUAAAUAAAUAUAUUAUCAAGUUUGUCUCAAUUUUUGUGUAAGCUCAGUCAAUUGGGUUUUAAAAAAAAAUAAGAAAUGUAAAUCCUAAAUGCUUUGCAGCUAUGUAAACUGUCCUUCCAUAAAUUGACACAUGAGGAACCCUUACAAUGAGAUAAGAGAUGUAAAUUUUAAA
Long non-coding RNA from Helianthus annuus (common sunflower), 2431 nucleotides. RefSeq lists it as uncharacterized. The transcript is spliced from 10 exons. The record is from RefSeq and is a predicted model, not a curated record. Lineage: Eukaryota; Viridiplantae; Streptophyta; Magnoliopsida; Asterales; Asteraceae.